AAAAGCAAAGUAAAUAGAAGAAGAUAGAAUUGCAGGACAUUAUGAAAACGGAUUCUUUUUUCUGUGGAAAAGGGGCGAACUGCGCAAACAAUAAUAAAAAUAUUACCCCAUCUUAGCAAGAAUCUUGUUUAGCUUUGUAAAUAGUUAGAUCCUGGCUUCGCUCACACCGCCUAAUUUUGGUUAUGUUUUAAAAUGAAACCUAUUUCCACGUUAGGGUUGGGAGUUUAAAACUCAUGCACGUUUACUGAAAAUAAAAAAAUAGUUUACUUCUAUAUGUAAGAAGUAAACUAUUUCAUGAUAAUCUUUUUAUUCAAGGAAAUCUUUCAGCCGCUUACUGCGGGAAGGAUGUCUCAGCUUACGCAAUGCCUUCGCUUCAAUUUGGCGAAUCCGUUCUCUUGUUACGCCAAAUACUUUACCGACUUCUUCUAAAGUUCGUGUACGGCCGUCAUCAAGGCCAAAGCGAAGCCGCAAGACGUUUUCUUCCCGGUCUGUUAAUGUAUCAAGCACAUCUUCCAGCUGUUCUUUUAACAGCUCAUAUGCUGCAUGAUCAGAUGGCGAUGUCGCAUCCUGAUCUUCGAUAAAAUCACCAAGGUGUGAAUCAUCUUCUUCACCAAUCGGUGUUUCUAAAGAAACAGGUUCUUGGGCUAUCUUUAAGAUCUCGCGUACUUUUUCCGGUGUUAAAUCCAUAUCUUCGGCAAUUUCUUCCGGAGUUGGUUCACGGCCAAGAUCCUGCAAUAACUGCCGUUGGACACGAAUUAAUUUGUUGAUUGUUUCAACCAUAUGAACAGGAAUUCGGAUUGUUCGCGCCUGAUCAGCGAUAGCGCGUGUAAUUGCCUGUCGGAUCCACCAAGUAGCAUAAGUGCUAAACUUAUAUCCUUUACGAUAAUCAAAUUUUUCAACUGCUUUGAUCAAGCCCAUGUUUCCUUCUUGAAUUAAAUCCAAGAAAAGCAUUCCACGGCCAACGUAUCGUUUUGCUAUACUUACAACGAGGCGAAGGUUUGCUUCAGCAAGACGGCGUUUCGCUUCUUCGUCUCCUUGUUCAAUUCGUUUGGCCAGUUCUAUUUCUUCUUCCGCUGACAAGAGAUCAACACGCCCAAUUUCCUUUAGGUACAUUCGGACAGGGUCAUUAAUUUUUACUCCAGGAGGA
RNAcentral lists this non-coding RNA (1147 nucleotides) under Bacillus methanolicus MGA3. The record is from RNAcentral. Lineage: Bacteria; Bacillati; Bacillota; Bacilli; Caryophanales; Bacillaceae.